This 255-nucleotide ribosomal RNA is filed under the name uncultured bacterium. RNAcentral describes it as "partial 16S ribosomal RNA". It matches the Rfam family "Bacterial small subunit ribosomal RNA", at positions 218 to 468 of the family's 1533-position model. The record is from RNAcentral.
CUACGGGAUGAGCCUAUGUCGGAUUAGCUAGUUGGUAGGGUAAAGGCCUACCAAGGCAACGAUCCGUAGCUGGUCUGAGAGGAUGAUCAGCCACAUCGGGACUGAGACACGGCCCGAACUCCUACGGGAGGCAGCAGUGGGGAAUAUUGGACAAUGGGGGCAACCCUGAUCCAGCCAUGCCGCGUGUGUGAAGAAGGCCCUCGGGUUGUAAAGCACUUUCAGCGAGGAGGAACGCCUAGUGGUAAUACCCAUAGG